RNAcentral lists this ribosomal RNA (1027 nucleotides) under Saccharomyces cerevisiae (brewer's yeast). Its description in RNAcentral is "SSU rRNA". It matches the Rfam family "Eukaryotic small subunit ribosomal RNA", at positions 85 to 1120 of the family's 1831-position model. The record is from RNAcentral. Lineage: Eukaryota; Fungi; Ascomycota; Saccharomycetes; Saccharomycetales; Saccharomycetaceae.
AACUGCGAAUGGCUCAUUAAAUCAGUUAUCGUUUAUUUGAUAGUUCCUUUACUACAUGGUAUAACUGUGGUAAUUCUAGAGCUAAUACAUGCUUAAAAUCUCGACCCUUUGGAAGAGAUGUAUUUAUUAGAUAAAAAAUCAAUGUCUUCGGACUCUUUGAUGAUUCAUAAUAACUUUUCGAAUCGCAUGGCCUUGUGCUGGCGAUGGUUCAUUCAAAUUUCUGCCCUAUCAACUUUCGAUGGUAGGAUAGUGGCCUACCAUGGUUUCAACGGGUAACGGGGAAUAAGGGUUCGAUUCCGGAGAGGGAGCCUGAGAAACGGCUACCACAUCCAAGGAAGGCAGCAGGCGCGCAAAUUACCCAAUCCUAAUUCAGGGAGGUAGUGACAAUAAAUAACGAUACAGGGCCCAUUCGGGUCUUGUAAUUGGAAUGAGUACAAUGUAAAUACCUUAACGAGGAACAAUUGGAGGGCAAGUCUGGUGCCAGCAGCCGCGGUAAUUCCAGCUCCAAUAGCGUAUAUUAAAGUUGUUGCAGUUAAAAAGCUCGUAGUUGAACUUUGGGCCCGGUUGGCCGGUCCGAUUUUUUCGUGUACUGGAUUUCCAACGGGGCCUUUCCUUCUGGCUAACCUUGAGUCCUUGUGGCUCUUGGCGAACCAGGACUUUUACUUUGAAAAAAUUAGAGUGUUCAAAGCAGGCGUAUUGCUCGAAUAUAUUAGCAUGGAAUAAUAGAAUAGGACGUUUGGUUCUAUUUUGUUGGUUUCUAGGACCAUCGUAAUGAUUAAUAGGGACGGUCGGGGGCAUCAGUAUUCAAUUGUCAGAGGUGAAAUUCUUGGAUUUAUUGAAGACUAACUACUGCGAAAGCAUUUGCCAAGGACGUUUUCAUUAAUCAAGAACGAAAGUUAGGGGAUCGAAGAUGAUCAGAUACCGUCGUAGUCUUAACCAUAAACUAUGCCGACUAGGGAUCGGGUGGUGUUUUUUUAAUGACCCACUCGGCACCUUACGAGAAAUCAAAGUCUUUGGGUUCCUGGGG